GUGGGGAAUAUUGGGCAAUGGGGGGAACCCUGACCCAGCAACGCCGCGUGAGGGAAGAAGGUUUUCGGAUCGUAAACCUCUGUCCUAUGUGAAGAGGAAGAGACGGUAGCAUAGGAGGAAGCCCCGGCUAACUACGUGCCAGCAGCCGCGGUAAUACGUAGGGGGCGAGCGUUGUCCGGAAUGAUUGGGCGUAAAGGGCGCGUAGGCGGCCUUUUAAGUCUGAAGUGAAAGUCCUGGUUUUAAGUUGGGAAUUGCUUUGGAUACUGGAAGGCUUGAGUGCAGGAGAGGUAAGUGGAAUUCCCAGUGUAGCGGUGAAAUGCGUAGAGAUUGGGAGGAACACCAGUGGCGAAGGCGACUUACUGGACUGUAACUGACGCUGAGGCGCGAAAGUGUGGGGAGCAAACAGGAUUAGAAACCCUAGUAGUCC
This 427-nucleotide ribosomal RNA is filed under the name uncultured bacterium. Its description in RNAcentral is "bacterial SSU rRNA". It matches the Rfam family "Bacterial small subunit ribosomal RNA", at positions 354 to 796 of the family's 1533-position model. The record is from RNAcentral.